RNAcentral lists this ribosomal RNA (254 nucleotides) under uncultured bacterium. RNAcentral describes it as "partial 16S ribosomal RNA". It matches the Rfam family "Bacterial small subunit ribosomal RNA", at positions 524 to 776 of the family's 1533-position model. The record is from RNAcentral.
UACAGAGACUGCAAGCGUUGUUCGGAUUUACUGGGCGUAAAGGGCGCGUAGGCGGCCUCCGCAAGUCAGUUGUGAAAUCUCCGAGCUUAACUCGGAAAGGUCAACUGAUACUGCGGGGCUAGAGUGCGGAAGGGGCAACUGGAAUUCUUGGUGUAGCGGUGAAAUGCGUAGAUAUCAAGAGGAACACCUGCGGCGAAGGCGGGUUGCUGGGCCGACACUGACGCUGAGGCGCGAAAGCUAGGGGAGCGAACGGG